Molecule: ribosomal RNA, 293 nt
Filed under: uncultured bacterium
Lineage: Bacteria
Description: partial 16S ribosomal RNA
Rfam family: Bacterial small subunit ribosomal RNA
Source: RNAcentral
GUGCCAGCAGCCGCGGUAAUACGGAGGAUCCGAGCGUUAUCCGGAUUUAUUGGGUUUAAAGGGUGCGCAGGCUGAUCGAUAAGUCAGGGGUGAAAAAUUUCAGCUUAACUGGAAUCGUGCCUUUGAUACUGUCGGACUAGAGUGUAACUGACGUGACUGGAAUGUGCCGUGUAGCGGUGAAAUGCUUAGAUAUGUCACAGAACGCCAAUCGUGAAGACAGGUCACGAAGUUACUACUGACGCUCAUGCACGAAAGCGUGGGGAUCAAACAGGAUUAGAUACCCCUGUAGUCCG